RNAcentral lists this ribosomal RNA (240 nucleotides) under Entoloma procerum. RNAcentral's name for it is "partial large subunit ribosomal RNA". Lineage: Eukaryota; Fungi; Basidiomycota; Agaricomycetes; Agaricales; Entolomataceae. The record is from RNAcentral.
AAACGCUUGAAGUCAGUCGUAUUGUCCAGGGAUCAACCUUGCUUUUGCUUGGUGUACUUCCUGUUCAAUAGGUCAGCAUCAAUUUUGACCAAGGGAAAAAGGCAGAGGGAAUGUGGCAUCUUCGGAUGUGUUAUAGCUUUCUGUCAUAUACAUUGGUUGGGAUUGAGGAACUCAGCACGCCGCAAGGCCGGGUUUUAACCACGUUCGUGCUUAGGAUGCUGGCAUAAUGGCUUUAAUCGA